Molecule: long non-coding RNA, 844 nt
Organism: Homo sapiens (human)
Lineage: Eukaryota; Metazoa; Chordata; Mammalia; Primates; Hominidae
Source: Ensembl
AAUGGCAGUGAAUCCUUUGAGACCCAACUCUUCAUUUUUAUAUCAGAAAGGAUAUUCUUAGAUAACUGCCUCCUGAGGGUGAUUCUGGUUUUGCUCACUCCACGGAGAUGGACCUGGCAGAGGCUUCAACAAAAAAGUCAAAACCCCAAGCUCUUGGGAACUGACGUAGAAGGAAGCAGGAAGAAGGAAGAUGAGGCCUGGUGGAGUUUCUUGACUGGAAACAAUUAGCUGCAUUGUUUUUUAUACGGUUUCUCCAGCUGCACCCUCUUUCCUGAGCAUUGAAAAAUACAGAUGAGAAGCAGAGGGAGGUUGUAGUUUCUAUUUGGUCACAGAGAGUAAUCAAGUGGAAGCCAGAUCACCAUUUACAAGAAAGACUGAAUGGGAGAUUUGGACAUGUACGAUUCUAUGAGACUGUGUGAAAUGUGUAUUCACAUAGUACUCUGUUACCAUAGUAACCAGUCACGUCAGGCUUCCUAGGAGUCUAGGGAGGAGCUGUCAACUUUCACAACUAGUUCAUUCACAAACAACCCUUCUUACAAAAUGCUUUGUGAUGGCAGUGACCACGUAGUUAAUCAUCCAAAGCAGGUCACUUUUUACAAUACAAGUAGAUGCUCUUAACAAUUUAGAAGGUACAACAAGUAUCAACCAGAACUGUCCCAAGCAAACUGAUUUACAUUGGAAUUUAUGUCUAAGUAAAGAAGAACCAUCAAGAAACAAUAACUAUUACACUGUGUAACAUUACUACGUACAUUAUAUCCCCACAUGAUCACCAAACCAUUCAGGGCUUUUCUUUCUUCUAUAUUUAUAAAAAUAAAAAGUAACAAAAUUAUGGCUUCAUGAAAAU